This is a non-coding RNA of Diplonema papillatum, 71 nucleotides long. The record is from the annotation of a GenBank genome assembly. Lineage: Eukaryota; Euglenozoa; Diplonemea; Diplonemida; Diplonemidae.
GCGUAAAUGGUCUAGUGGUAGAAUGGCCCCCUGCCACGGGGUCGGCCCGGGUUCGAUUCCCGGUUUACGCA